AGCAGGGGAUCUUCGGACCUUGUGCUUUUGGAGCGGCCGAUGCCUGAUUAGCUAGUUGGUGGGGUAAAGGCCUACCAAGGCGACGAUCAGUAGUUGGUCUGAGAGGACGACCAGCCACACUGGGACUGAGACACGGCCCAGACUCCUACGGGAGGCAGCAGUGGGGAAUUUUGGACAAUGGGCGAAAGCCUGAUCCAGCAAUGCCGCGUGAGUGAAGAAGGCCUUCGGGUUGUAAAGCUCUUUCAGUCGAGAAGAAAAGAUUGCGACUAAUAAUCGCAAUUCAUGACGGUACCGACAGAAGAAGCACCGGCUAACUACGUGCCAGCAGCCGCGGUAAUACGUGGGGUGCGAGCGUUAAUCGGAAUUACUGGGCGUAAAGCGUGCGCAGGCGGUUUUGUAAGUCAGAUGUGAAAUCCCCGGGCUUAACCUGGGAACUGCGUUUGAAACUACAAGGCUAGAGUGUGGCAGAGGGGGGUGGAAUUCCGCGUGUAGCAGUGAAAUGCGUAGAGAUGUGGAGGAACACCGAUGGCGAAGGCAGCCCCCUGGGUCAGCACUGACGCUCAGGCACGAAAGCAUGGGGAGCAAACAGGAUUAGAUACCCUGGUAGUCCAUGCCCUAAACGAUGUCAACUAGUUGUCGGGCCUUAACGGGCUUGGUAACGUAGCUAACGCGUGAAGUUGACCGCCUGGGGAGUACGGUCGCAAGAUUAAAACUCAAAGGAAUUGACGGGGACCCGCACAAGCGGUGGAUUAUGUGGAUUAAUUCGAUGCAACGCGAAAAACCUUACCUACCCUUGACAUGUAGCGAAUACUCUAG
RNAcentral lists this ribosomal RNA (816 nucleotides) under uncultured bacterium. RNAcentral describes it as "bacterial SSU rRNA". It matches the Rfam family "Bacterial small subunit ribosomal RNA", at positions 202 to 1003 of the family's 1533-position model. The record is from RNAcentral.